Molecule: ribosomal RNA, 506 nt
Filed under: uncultured bacterium
Lineage: Bacteria
Description: partial 16S ribosomal RNA
Rfam family: Bacterial small subunit ribosomal RNA
Source: RNAcentral
AGUGAACGCUGGCGGUAGGCCUAACACAUGCAAGUCGAACGGCAGCACAGGAGAGCUUGCUCUCUGGGUGGCGAGUGGCGGACGGGUGAGGAAUACAUCGGAAUCUACUCUGUCGUGGGGGAUAACGUAGGGAAACUUACGCUAAUACCGCAUACGACCUACGGGUGAAAGCAGGGGACCUUCGGGCCUUGCGCGGUUGAAUGAGCCGAUGUCGGAUUAGCUAGUUGGCGGGGUAAAGGCCCACCAAGGCGACGAUCCGUAGCUGGUCUGAGAGGAUGAUCCGCCACACUGGAACUGGGACACGGUCCAGACUCCUACGGGAGGCAGCAGUGGGGAAUAUUGGACAAUGGGCGCAAGCCUGAUCCAGCCAUACCGCGUGGGUGAAGAAGGCCUUCGGGUUGUAAAGCCUUUUUGUUGGGAAAGAAAUCCAGCUGGCUAAUACCCGGUUGGGAUGACGGUACCCAAAGAAUAAGCACCGGCUAACUUCGUGCCAGCCGCCGCAGUAA